This 33-nucleotide ribosomal RNA is filed under the name Parageobacillus toebii. RNAcentral describes it as "partial 23S ribosomal RNA". The record is from RNAcentral. Lineage: Bacteria; Bacillati; Bacillota; Bacilli; Caryophanales; Anoxybacillaceae.
GGUUAAGUUAGAAAGGGCGCACGGUGGAAUGCC